GAUGAACGCUGGCGGCGUGCCUAAUACAUGCAAGUCGAGCGAAUGGAUUAAGAGCUUGCUCUUAUGAAGUUAGCGGCGGACGGGUGAGUAACACGUGGGUAACCUGCCCAUAAGACUGGGAUAACUCCGGGAAACCGGGGCUAAUCCCGGAUAACAUUUUGAACCGCAUGGUUCGAAGUUGAAAGGCGGCUUCGGCUGUCACUUAUGGAUGGACCCGCGUCGCAUUAGCUAGUUGGUGAGGUAACGGCUCACCAAGGCAACGAUGAGUAGCCGACCUGAGAGGGUGAUCGGCCACACUGGGACUGAGACACGGCCCAGACUCCUACGGGAGGCAGCAGUAGGGAAUCUUCCGCAAUGGACGAAAGUCUGACGGAGCAACGCCGCGUGAGUGAUGAAGGCUUUCGGGUCGUAAAACUCUGUUGUUAGGGAAGAACAAGUGCUAGUUGAAUAAGCUGGCACCUUGACGGUACCUAACCAGAAAGCCACGGCUAACUACGUGCCAGCCGCCGCGGUAA
Molecule: ribosomal RNA, 515 nt
Filed under: uncultured bacterium
Lineage: Bacteria
Description: partial 16S ribosomal RNA
Rfam family: Bacterial small subunit ribosomal RNA
Source: RNAcentral